Mytilus californianus (California mussel) is the source of this 452-nucleotide long non-coding RNA. RefSeq lists it as uncharacterized. NCBI's taxonomy places the organism in Eukaryota, Metazoa, Mollusca, Bivalvia, Mytilida, Mytilidae. The transcript has 3 exons. The record is from RefSeq and is a predicted model, not a curated record.
AUUUAAGUUAAGGUCUGAAGGGAAAAUUCAAAUUGAUAUAUAAAAAUGAAUACUAAAAUAGUCACUUUUGCUUUCAUUUUCCUUCUGUCAUAUGAGUGUGUCUACUGCAAGAAGAAGAAAGAGAAGAAACAGGUAUUUGCGAUCCCACUUUUACUUGGCGAAACGGCUCUUGGAGGCGCUCUCCUUCAGGGACUUGCAGGAGCUGGAGCUGCAACUGCUGCUUUAUUAACAGGAAAAUUACUAGGAAACCAGCUCAAUCAUGAAUGUUCGACGUCUAUGAAGUGCGCAAAUGGGCAAGGAGAGUGCAGAAACAUUUGUUUUCCUCAUGAGUAUGUGGAUACCAAACACCCAAGCACAGACCACUGUUCCUACCAAGGAUGUGAUUGUUGUCGCUCAUAAAAGAAAUACAAUAUUCGUCAAAAUGAGACUGUUUAAUAAAGAUACCUGACUUG